AUGUUGUGAUUUUCUUCUAAUUCAUGAUUGUGGUCCUGUUGGCAUCUUUGUUUCAUUAUAAGUAACAUGAUUCCCGUGCGCAGUUCAUGCCAUUUUAUUUUCUGAAUUGAUCUACAACCAGUACAUGGUUUACUCAGAUAUUGCGAUCAACCCAUAUUAUCAGUUCUCUUUUCUCUACUCUUCUCUUCUCUACUCUAAAAAAUAAAAAAGGUGAAAAAACAUUCUUUCGCUCCGUCCCCGCACCCCCUCCGUUUUUUUUCCUCCCCUCGUUUCCCCACCUCUAUAUUAUUACUUACCCCUAUUUGUACCUUGGUCCCUCUAUAUUAUUACUUACCCCUAUUUGUACCUUGGUUUACUUAAUUAGGAUAUAUUCGUAAACAUAGUAACUCUUUGACUGCCACCUUCCUCCGGAAUAAAGUAAAGAGUAAAAUACACUGUAGGCCUAUCAACUUUACACAUGGUGUCACUUAGGUCCAUCAACUCUAAAUGUGCAUUUUUAGUCCAUAAACUUUUCAAGUCAUUCACCACAGGUAAAUACACCUCCACGUCGACACCAAAUGGUGAUGGGGCAUCUCCU
RNAcentral lists this long non-coding RNA (577 nucleotides) under Setaria viridis. RNAcentral's name for it is "long non-coding RNA (SVIR_LNC007695)". Lineage: Eukaryota; Viridiplantae; Streptophyta; Magnoliopsida; Poales; Poaceae. The record is from RNAcentral.